Molecule: ribosomal RNA, 538 nt
Filed under: uncultured bacterium
Lineage: Bacteria
Description: partial 16S ribosomal RNA
Rfam family: Bacterial small subunit ribosomal RNA
Source: RNAcentral
UGGGGAAUCGUUCCGCAAUGGACGAAAGUCUGACGGAGCAACGCCGCGUGAGUGAAGAAGGUUUUCGGAUCGUAAAACUCUGUCUUUUGGGGGCGAACGUGAGUAUGGUGAACAAUCAUAGUCAGUGACGGUACCAAAGGGAGGAAGCCACGGCUAACUACGUGCCAGCAGCCGCGGUAAUACGUAGGUGGCAAGCGUUGUCCGGAAUUAUUGGGCGUAAAGAGCGCGUAGGCGGGAUAGUCAGUCUGUUGUAAAGUGCGGGGCUCAACCCCGUGAUGGCAAUGGAAACAGCUAUUCUUGAGUGCAGGAGAGGAAAGGUGGAAUUCCCCAGUGUAGCGGUGAAAUGCGUAGAUAUUGGGAGGAACACCAGUGGCGAAGGCGACUUUCUGGACUGUGUCUGACGCUGAGGCGCGAAAGCCAGGGGAGCGAACGGGAUUAGAUACCCCCGGUAGUCCUGGCCGUAAACGAUGGGUACUAGGUGUGGGAGGUAUCGGCCCCCCAUUCCGUGCCGGAGUUAACGCAAUAAGUACCCCCGCCU